CCUACGGGUGGCAGCAGUGAGGAAUAUUGGUCAAUGGACGAGAGUCUGAACCAGCCAAGUAGCGUGAAGGAUGACUGCCCUAUGGGUUGUAAACCUCUUUUAUAAAGGAAUAAAACGAGGCACGUGUGCCUUUUUGCAUGUACCUUAUGAAUAAGGAUCGGCUAACUCCGUGCCAGCAGCCGCGGUAAUACGGAGGAUCCGAGCGUUAUCCGGAUUUAUUGGGUUUAAAGGGAGCGUAGAUGGGUUGUUAAGUCAGUUGUGAAAGUUUGCGGCUCAACCGUAAAAUUGCGAUUGAUACUGGCAGUCUUGAGUACAUUUGAGGUAGGCGGAAUUCGUGGUGUAGCGGUGAAAUGCUUAGAUAUCACGCAGAACCCCGAUUGCGAAGGCAGCUUACUAAGCUGUGACUGACAUUGAUGCUCGAAAGUGUGGGUAUCGAACAGGAUUAGAUACCCCUGUAGUC
RNAcentral lists this ribosomal RNA (460 nucleotides) under uncultured bacterium. Its description in RNAcentral is "partial 16S ribosomal RNA". It matches the Rfam family "Bacterial small subunit ribosomal RNA", at positions 338 to 795 of the family's 1533-position model. The record is from RNAcentral.